This 495-nucleotide long non-coding RNA is filed under the name Nicotiana benthamiana. RNAcentral's name for it is "long non-coding RNA (NBEN_LNC028265)". Lineage: Eukaryota; Viridiplantae; Streptophyta; Magnoliopsida; Solanales; Solanaceae. The record is from RNAcentral.
UUUCACAAGAUACUAUGUGGAAGUUAUUCACUUUGAAAUCUUUUGAAUUACUUGAAAAUAAUUGUCUCUCCGAAGAACCAAAAUUUUAAGUAUUUUUAGCUGUUAAACGGUAACUUUGUUCUUGCAAAGAUAUGAAGAACCAAAUUUUUUAGUAUUUUAGCUGUUAAACGGUAACAUUGUUCUGGCAAAGAUAGCAAGAUUCUCUAGACUGGUGCUUUAUGGUUUGGUUGCAUUUGGUUUGAAAUCCAUGAUAAAACAUUUCAAAGUCGAAUCUUUUGAUAUACCAUAUGUUCAACUGGGCUUUCUUUUGCUUUAUGUGGUGCAAGGCAAAUGCACAUUCAAGAUUUAAGUUGUGUCAAACUGUCAAUGGGUGCAAACUUGUUAUAGAUAUAUAUAUCUUCUAAUUUAUUUUGAACUAUAUAAUCUGAGCUAUAUAUAUUUAUGGUAGUUCUUUAUGGUAGCUACUGUAUGAUAUUAUUGCAUGCUAUUUUAUUU